UUGGGUCCGGCAUAACCCCGGGAAACUGGGGANAAUUCCGGAUAACGCACAUAUGCUGGAAUGCUUUAUGCGUAAAAUGGAUUCGUCUGCCCAAGGAUGGGUCUGCGGCCUAUCAGGUAGUAGUGGGUGUAAUGUACCUACUAGCCAACAACGGGUACGGGUUGUGAGAGCAAGAGCCCGGAGAUGGAUUCUGAGACAUGAAUCCAGGCCCUACGGGGCGCAGCAGGCGCGAAAACUUUACAAUGCGGGAAACCGUGAUAAGGGGACACCGAGUGCCAGCAUCAUAUGCUGGCUGUCCAGGUGUGUAAAAUACACCUGUCAGCAAGGGCCGGGCAAGACCGGUGCCAGCCGCCGCGGUAACACCGGCGGCCCGAGUGGUGAUCGUGAUUAUUGGGUCUAAAGGGUCCGUAGCCGGUUUGGUCAGUCCUCCGGGAAAUCUGACGGCUCAACCGUUAGGCUUUCGGGGGAUACUGCCAGGCUUGGAACCGGGAGAGGUAAGAGGUACUACAGGGGUAGGAGUGAAAUCUUGUAAUCCCUGUGAGACCACCUGUGGCGAAGGCGUCUUACCAGAACGGGUUCGACGGUGAGGGACGAAAGCUGGGGGCACGAACCGGAUUAGAUACCCGGGUAGUCCCAGCCGUAAACGAUGCUCGCUAGGUGUCAGGCAUGGCGCGACCGUGUCUGGUGCCGCAGGGAAGCCGUGAAGCGAGCCACCUGGGAAGUACGGCCGCAAGGCUGAAACUUAA
Molecule: ribosomal RNA, 746 nt
Filed under: uncultured archaeon S15-23
Lineage: Archaea
Description: bacterial SSU rRNA
Rfam family: Archaeal small subunit ribosomal RNA
Source: RNAcentral